RNAcentral lists this ribosomal RNA (497 nucleotides) under uncultured bacterium. RNAcentral describes it as "partial 16S ribosomal RNA". It matches the Rfam family "Bacterial small subunit ribosomal RNA", at positions 28 to 507 of the family's 1533-position model. The record is from RNAcentral.
GAUGAACGCUGGCGGCGUGCCUAAUACAUGCAAGUCGAGCGAACGGACGAGAAGCUUGCUUCUCUGAUGUUAGCGGCGGACGGGUGAGUAACACGUGGAUAACCUACCUAUAAGACUGGGAUAACUUCGGGAAACCGUAGCUAAUACCGGAUAAUAUUUUGAACCGCAUGGUUCAAAAGUGAAAGACGGUCUUGCUGUCACUUAUGGAUGGAUCCGCGCUGCAUUAGCUAGUUGGUAAGGUAACGGCUUACCAAGGCAACGAUGCAUAGCCGACCUGAGAGGGUGAUCGGCCACACUGGAACUGAGACACGGUCCAGACUCCUACGGGAGGCAGCAGUAGGGAAUCUUCCGCAAUGGGCGAAAGCCUGACGGAGCAACGCCGCGUGAGUGAUGAAGGUCUUCGGAUCGUAAAACUCUGUUAUUAGGGAAGAACAAAUGUGUAAGUAACUGUGCACAUCUUGACGGUACCUAAUCAGAAAGCCACGGCUAACUACGUG